This 253-nucleotide ribosomal RNA is filed under the name uncultured bacterium. RNAcentral's name for it is "partial 16S ribosomal RNA". It matches the Rfam family "Bacterial small subunit ribosomal RNA", at positions 524 to 776 of the family's 1533-position model. The record is from RNAcentral.
UACGUAGGUGGCAAGCGUUGUCCGGAAUUAUUGGGCGUAAAGCGUGCGCAGGCGGUCCUUUAAGUCUGAUGUGAAAGCCCACGGCUCAACCGUGGAGGGUCAUUGGAAACUGGGGGACUUGAGUGCAGGAGAGAAGAGUGGAAUUCCACGUGUAGCGGUGAAAUGCGUAGAGAUGUGGAGGAACACCAGUGGCGAAGGCGGCUCACUGGACCGGUACUGACGCUGAAGCGCGAAAGCGUGGGGAGCAAACGGG